GCCUGAGGGGCGAGAGCCCCCAAGGCUGUGGGUAUGAGGCCGGGGCCCUGCACCGGAAGGGAGGGCGGAAGCCACGGGACGUGGAGCAGAUGGUGAGGAUAGUGGGGAGGUAGCAGCAGAGGAUGACCCGAGGCAAAAGUGCAAGUGAAGAAAAGUCGCCUUGCCGGGCAGAGCUCUUCUCUUUUUCAGGAAAUUACUCCAGGAUUUGAAUCAUCACAAGAGAUUCACCAGAGGAUUUUAUACACUUGGGCUGUGGCAGCAGACUAAUUACAUCACAGCACUAGAGCUGAGAUACUGGCUGGGUGGAUUUCAGCAAAUUUCCAAGGGCACAUGACAUGUGGGCACAAAAGCCGGGAUUUCACACCAGGGGAUAAAGUAUAUCAGAAAUGAAGGCUGGGGGCAGAAUAAUAGACAAUAUCUCCCCGGAUACUUUUUAUCAGCAAGACAGGAAUGUUCCCCAAAUGACACUGCUUAAGAGAACUUUGAGGAGAACUGAGGGCAAGAUACAAGCCAUGGUUCUAUACAGAUAAGUCUACGGAAGCUGCAGAAAUAACAUUCCAGAUCCCCAGGAAUCCACCCACCCACCCCUCCGACUUUGGCCGAACACCAUGGCUGGCUGCCGUGUGAAGAAUGGACUGUAGGGGGUGCCAGAGUGGCUGUGGGAAACAUCCCCUAGAAAUCUAGAAUUCAAAGCACUUACUUUGAGUGAUAUAUCCACAAGAAAGAGCCUUCUGUGCUAAAAGCAAAA
RNAcentral lists this long non-coding RNA (748 nucleotides) under Homo sapiens (human). RNAcentral's name for it is "HSALNT0154929". Lineage: Eukaryota; Metazoa; Chordata; Mammalia; Primates; Hominidae. The record is from RNAcentral.